AAAAAGACCUUCUGUCAUGGGGCACAUGGAGAGCUACCUGACUGCCCUUUAUGUUGAAGGGACAUGGAGAGAUUUUGGAAGCAUAAUUUUUUGGUAGUUGGACAGCUAGUGAUUGUUGGACCUGGUGCCCUU
Molecule: small nuclear RNA, 132 nt
Organism: Otolemur garnettii (small-eared galago)
Lineage: Eukaryota; Metazoa; Chordata; Mammalia; Primates; Galagidae
Source: Ensembl